UAUACAUGCAAGUCGAGCGGAGUUGAAUARGKGCUUGCACUAAUUCAACUUAGCGGCGAACGGGUGAGUAACACGUAAAGAACCUGCCUCAUAGACUGGGACMACUACUGGAAACGGUAKCUAAUACUGGAUAACAUAUUUUACCGCAUGGGAAAAUAUUGAARGUCGGUCRUGCUGACACUAUGAGAUGGCUUUGCGGUGCAUUAGCUAGUUGGUAGGGUAAAGGCCUACCAAGGCGACGAUGCAUAGCCGACCUGAGAGGGUGAUCGGCCACACUGGGACUGAGACACGGCCCAKACUCCUACGGGAGGCAGCAGUAGGGAAUCUUCCGCAAUGGACGAAAGUCUGACGGAGCAACGCCGCGUGAGUGAAGAAGGAUUUCGGUUCGUAAAACUCUGUUGUUARGGAAGAAUGAUUGUAUAGUAACUAUAUACAGUAGAGACGGUACCUAACCAGAARGCCACGGCUAACUACGUGCCAGCAGCCGCGGUAAUACGUAGGUGGCAAGCGUUGUCCGGAAUUAUUGGGCGUAAAGCGCGCGCAGGUGGUUUAAAAAGUCUGAUGUGAAAGCCCACGGCUCAACCGUGGAAGGUCAUUGGAAACUGUUAAACUUGAGUGCAGGAGAGAAAAGUGGAAUUCCUAGUGUAGCGGUGAAAUGCGUAGAGAUUAGGAGGAACACCAGUGGCGAAGGCGGCUUUUUGGCCUGUAACUGACACUGAGGCGCGAAAGCGUGGGGAGCAAACAGGAUUAGAUACUC
This 757-nucleotide ribosomal RNA is filed under the name Gemelliphila palaticanis. Its description in RNAcentral is "bacterial SSU rRNA". It matches the Rfam family "Bacterial small subunit ribosomal RNA", at positions 50 to 787 of the family's 1533-position model. Lineage: Bacteria; Bacillati; Bacillota; Bacilli; Caryophanales; Gemellaceae. The record is from RNAcentral.